AUGCACUUUCUUUGAACCUGUGUGGCCUUAACAAUGGCUGCUUAGGCCAAGCUAUAGUGCAAGAGCAGAAAAAGGCUUGUUUAUAACUGGGGUUUCUUGGCUUUUCUACCAAGUCUCUCUUUUAAAGGCAACCCACAAAU
Small nucleolar RNA from Osmerus eperlanus (European smelt), 140 nucleotides. The record is from RefSeq and is a predicted model, not a curated record. Lineage: Eukaryota; Metazoa; Chordata; Actinopteri; Osmeriformes; Osmeridae.